GACGACGCUGGCGGCGUGCUUAACACAUGCAAGUCGAACGGUGACGAGGAGCUUGCUCUCUGAUCAGUGGCGAACGGGUGAGUAACACGUGAGCAACCUGCCCCAGACUCUGGGAUAACAGUUGGAAACAGCUGCUAAUACCGGAUACGAGACGGAGAGGCAUCUCUACCGUCUGGAAAGUUUUUCGGCUGGGAUGGACUCGCGGCCUAUCAGCUAGUUGGUGAGGUAAUGGCUCACCAAGGGCGACGACGGGGUAGCCGGCCCUGAGAGGGCGACCGGCCACACUGGGACUGAGACACGGCCCAGACUCCUACGGGAGGCAGCAGUGGGGAAUAUUGCACAAUGGGCGAAAGCCUGAUGCAGCGACGCCGCGUGAGGGAUGACGGCCUUCGGGUUGUAAACCUCUUUCAGCAGGGAAGAAGCGAAAGUGACGGUACCUGCAGAAGAAGCACCGGCUAACUACGUG
Molecule: ribosomal RNA, 466 nt
Filed under: uncultured bacterium
Lineage: Bacteria
Description: bacterial SSU rRNA
Rfam family: Bacterial small subunit ribosomal RNA
Source: RNAcentral